UCUAAAGCUCACAAUCUAUCUUGCAAAAAAUAUUUUAAAUUCCAUCUCAAAUAAGCCAGGGUGAAAAGGGAGCCUGUGCACCAGACACUGCCAGCCUUGCCUGGCUCUCGCCUUCUUGCUCUUCCUUCCCCACCUGCUGGGGAUUUUCUUAACGAUGGAGAUGGGUUUGGGUUUGUCCUGCUGUGCUCUGCUCCCCAUUCCCGGAUCCAAGGUCCUGCCUCUGUCCUGUCCCCUGAGCCACCUCAGGGAUGCAGGGUCCCCCACCUGGUCAAGUGCCCAGUGCUGUGUUGUCAUUUGCAAGUUCUUCCUGUGACUGAACUCCAAAUGGCACUGGGACUGCUGACUCCACCCACUGGACAACCCGUGUUCUUGCUUUUGGGGUUUCUGAAACAGCCCCAAGACUCUGGGCAUCUUGAUUUUGCUCCCAUUGCUUCUCAGGACACCCUGCUCCUGUGGUUUGCAGCCCCGGCCUUCUCUUCGAGGACGCCUCUGCUCUUCUGCCUCACACUCGGAUUGGACCUUCUUCAGCACAGCCAGUGGCCGAGGCUUCCUCCCUGGGGCUCAGUGGAGCAGGACAGAUGCUGCAUCCAAACUCUUCCAUUGGGUUCCAGUCUGUUCCAGUCAUGCCCUUGAGCCUCUAAAGCUCCUAGGUGAGAGACGUAGCAGCUGACAGCACUUCCCACUUGAUUUGGGUGGACUCCAGCCUCCCCAGCAACAAUAAGAGAUCAAAAGCAUCGUUGAGGAAGCAGCUUGCUGAAACGCUGAGUGCCCGCCACUCUCAGGUCAGGUGGGACCGGCAGGCCAGCAUGAGUUCCUGAACACUUGGUUCUCAAUACUGGCCACAGCCACACUGUAAGGGGAAACAAGAGGGCACUGUAUGCAAACAUCUCUUGAACUCUGGAGUCUGCUCACCUUCCUGCCUCAAGCCCCUCUCCCACGUGGUCCAGUCACCAUUCUCCACAGAGACUACCCUAAAACCCAGCGACUCUCGUGUGCCUGCAGAAUGGCACAGCCCGUUCUCAUAGCAGCACUCCUGUUUAAUCAGAGGGAUGUUAACGACCAAGUCAUAUUUGCUCGAUUUGUGUUCAACAUAUUUCAUUUGUACCGAUAAAACUUAAAAAUAUCCCCACACAUGCAUUGCCUAUUAAAGAGUAUCUUCCAGGUACACCUCCCUUACACAUCAGUUAACUUGAUAAUUUCUUCCCAUUCUUGUGCAAUAAAUUUCCUUCCUGAUCAGCUCUGUCCAGCAGCAACAAUAAUCCACGUAGAGACAUGCAAACUAAAAGUCCGUUAGUGGAGGCACGAAGCUGAUGAGGCUUGGAAAAAAAUGACCGAUUUGAUUAAAAUUAGGACCCAUGGGAGUGGAGCUCUGCCUAUUUUAGAGGCAAAGUAAAUGCCUGGGAGUCCAAUCACCGACAUUCUGUUUGAGGUUUCUAAUCACAAGGAAGAUGGAGAAAAUGCAGAACAAGUGGUCAAGAACAGGGAGAUAAUAAAUAGAAUAUUUAUGGGCUGAGGAAAACAAUUACCAGGGGAAAGCCCAAGAAGCAAAGAUGAACAGAGAACGUGCUGACUGCGCUCGUUUGGAAAGGCCUCAUGGCCAAAGGAGGAGAGGCAUUAUGAGGAGCAGUGACCGAGUGGGCAGGACCCCCGGGGAUCAGGAAAGGUGCACGGGGGGAAAUGAGAGGCCUGAGCGGCUUCCCAGCGAAGGUUUUUGAAGCACGGUUUGAUUUUCUCUCUCCCCCUCACCAUCCCCAAAUUUUAGUUGUGACUAUCUCCAGGUACAUGGCUUGCGACAGGCGGUGUAUAAAAACUAAUGUCAGUUUAAUUUUAAAACCUUAGCCAUUUUCUGGAACUUAAAUAUCAAAGAGAAAAUGUCCACAUAUGAUGUUAAUUGAGGUUUGUCUCACUGGUGAUUUGUGCUGAUUCAAUUCCUGUUUCUUUUUUUUUUUCUUAAGGGGUCAGUUUUAGAAUUGGGAGAUAGGUGUAUAACAUAUGACUAUACAGCGCAGGUUGGUUUUUUAACAUAGAAAUAUCUGCCUUUAAAUGAGAACUGAAAACGGAGCUUCUUGGAGGCCACCUGCUGGUGGCAGUGAUCUGACCGCUGUUUAAGCUUUCUUUGAACUCCUUUUUUUAAAACAGCCUCCAUAAUCAAUGGUGUACGAUCUACUCUCGUGGUAAAACUUACUCAGUGAAGAGUGUGUUUUAUUUUCUGAGGAGCUGAACUGUUCCAACCUGAGUAUUCUGAAUAAGGACAGUGGUCGAGCAUGAGUGAUGCCAUCUGGGCUUAGAAAUAAGUGGGCCUAAAAUCUGAUUGUUUUCAUACAUUGUUCAGAUAUUGACGCAAAUAGCAAUUUAUUUUGU
RNAcentral lists this long non-coding RNA (2361 nucleotides) under Homo sapiens (human). RNAcentral describes it as "non-protein coding LINC01128:106". Lineage: Eukaryota; Metazoa; Chordata; Mammalia; Primates; Hominidae. The record is from RNAcentral.